RNAcentral lists this ribosomal RNA (1102 nucleotides) under Vibrio sp. EPA-10. Its description in RNAcentral is "bacterial SSU rRNA". It matches the Rfam family "Bacterial small subunit ribosomal RNA", at positions 56 to 1146 of the family's 1533-position model. Lineage: Bacteria; Pseudomonadati; Pseudomonadota; Gammaproteobacteria; Vibrionales; Vibrionaceae. The record is from RNAcentral.
UGCAAGUCGAGCGGUAACAGAAAGAAAGCUUGCUUUCUUUGCUGACGAGCGGCGGACGGGUGAGUAAUGCCUGGGAAAUUGCCUUGAUGUGGGGGAUAACCAUUGGAAACGAUGGCUAAUACCGCAUAAUGCCUUCGGGCCAAAGAGGGGGACCUUCGGGCCUCUCGCGUCAAGAUAUGCCCAGGUGAGAUUAGCUUGUUGGUGAGGUAAGAGCUCACCAAGGCGACGAUCUCUAGCUGGUCUGAGAGGAUGAUCAGCCACAUUGGGACUGAGACACGGCCCAAACUCCUACGGGAGGCAGCAGUGGGGAAUAUUGCACAAUGGGCGCAAGCCUGAUGCAGCCAUGCCGCGUGUAUGAAGAAGGCCUUCGGGUUGUAAAGUACUUUCAGCAGUGAGGAAGGGGUGAUGUUUAAUAGACAYCAUUCUUGACGUUAGCUGCAGAAGAAGCACCGGCUAACUCCGUGCCAGCAGCCGCGGUAAUACGGAGGGUGCGAGCGUUAAUCGGAAUUACUGGGCGUAAAGCGCAUGCAGGUGGUCUGUUAAGUCAGAUGUGAAAGCCCGAGGCUUAACCUCGGAAUAGCAUUUGAAACUGGCAGGCUAGAGUACUGUAGAGGGGGGUAGAAUUUCAGGUGUAGCGGUGAAAUGCGUAGAGAUCUGAAGGAAUACCAGUGGCGAAGGCGGCCCCCUGGACAGAUACUGACACUCAGAUGCGAAAGCGUGGGGAGCAAACAGGAUUAGAUACCCUGGUAGUCCACGCCGUAAACGAUGUCUACUUGGAGGUUGUGGCCUUGAGCCGUGGCUUUCGGAGCUAACGCGUUAAGUAGACCGCCUGGGGAGUACGGUCGCAAGAUUAAAACUCAAAUGAAUUGACGGGGGCCCGCACAAGCGGUGGAGCAUGUGGUUUAAUUCGAUGCAACGCGAAGAACCUUACCUACUCUUGACAUCCAGAGAACUUAGCAGAGAUGCUUUGGUGCCUUCGGGAACUCUGAGACAGGUGCUGCAUGGCUGUCGUCAGCUCGUGUUGUGAAAUGUUGGGUUAAGUCCCGCAACGAGCGCAACCCUUAUCCUUGAUUGCCAGCACUUCGGGUGGGAACUUCAGGGA